Molecule: ribosomal RNA, 1997 nt
Filed under: human oral metagenome
Description: bacterial LSU rRNA
Rfam family: Bacterial large subunit ribosomal RNA
Source: RNAcentral
UUGGCUUAGAAGCAGCCAUCCUUGAAAGAGUGCGUAAUAGCUCACUGGUCAAGUGGUUCUGCGCCGACAAUGUAGCGGGGCUCAAGCGUACCGCCGAAGCUGUGGCAACAACACGAUUGUGCUGGCGCCAGGAACUGGAGUGCUGGUGUGUUGUUGGGUAGGGGAGCGUCCUGCACGAGGUGAAGCCUGGAGGUGACUUCUGGUGGAUUGUGUGGGAGUGAGAAUGCAGGCAUGAGUAACGAAUCUGCGGUGAGAAUCCGCAGCGCCGAUUGACUAAGGGUUCCAGGGCUAGGUUUAUCCGCCCUGGGUUAGUCGGGUCCUAAGGCGAGGCCGACAGGCGUAGUCGAUGGACAACCAGUUGAUAUUCUGGUACCGCGUUGUGACCGCCCAUGCUGAAGUCAUUGUGCUAACCAAUUUGCUCACCGCCUGCUGGGCCUUCGGGUUUGGUGGUGUGUGUGGGUCUUGGGGUCCCGGUGAUUGUAGGCAAGCGUGUUAACAGGGGUGACGCAGACAGGUAGCUGCAGUGCGCCGAUGGUUGUGCGUAUUUAAGGUUGUGGCCCGUCCCUCAGGUAAAUCCGGGGGGCACCCAGGGUGAGAACUGAUGAGGGUGACACGGUUGUGCCAUCUUGUGGUGAUCCUAUGCUGCCAAGAAAAGCCUCGACGUGAGGGCAUGACGCGCCCGUACCCUAAACCGACUCAGGUGGUCAGGUAGAGUAUACCGAGGCGUUCGAGUGAAUCAUGGUUAAGGAACUCGGCAAAAUUCCUCCGUAACUUCGGGAUAAGGAGGACCCCGUGACUUCCCCGCACCGUUGCGUGUGGGUGGGGUUGGGGGGUCGCAGAGAAUAGGGAGAAGCGACUGUUUAUCAAAAACACAGGUGCGUGCGAAGCCGUAAGGCGAUGUAUACGCACUGACGCCUGCCCGGUGCUGGAAGGUUAAGAGGAACCGUCAACACCCCCCGCGGGUGUGAAGCGGUGAAUUUAAGCCCCAGUAAACGGCGGUGGUAACUAUAACCAUCCUAAGGUAGCGAAAUUCCUUGUCGGGUAAGUUCCGACCUGCACGAAUGGCGUAACGACUUCUCCGCUGUCUCAACCGUGAACUCGGUGAAAUUGCAGUACGAGUAAAGAUGCUCGUUUCGCGCAGAAGGACGGAAAGACCCCGGGACCUUUACUAUAGCUUGGUAUUGGUGUUCGCUUGGACUUGUGUAGGAUAGGUGGGAGACUGUGAAGCUGCCGCGCCAGCGGUGGUGGAGUCGUCGUUGAAAUACCAUUCUGGUUCAAGCGGUCACCUUAACCUUGGCCCGUGAUCCGGGUUGGGGACAGUGCCUGGUGGGUAGUUUAACUGGGGCGGUUGCCUCCUAAAAUGUAACGGAGGCGCUCAAAGGUUCCCUCAGCCUGGUUGGUAAUCAGGUGGCGAGUGCAAGUGUACAAGGGAGCUUGACUGUGAGACCGACGGGUCGAGCAGGUGCGAAAGCAGGAACUAGUGAUCCGGCCAUGGCACGUGGGUGCGUGGUCGCUCAACGGAUAAAAGGUACCCCGGGGAUAACAGGCUGAUCUUGCCCAAGAGUCCAUAUCGACGGCAUGGUUUGGCACCUCGAUGUCGGCUCGUCGCAUCCUGGGGCUGGAGUCGGUCCCAAGGGUUGGGCUGUUCGCCCAUUAAAGCGGUACGCGAGCUGGGUUCAGAACGUCGUGAGACAGUUCGGUCCCUAUCCUCUGUGCGCGCAGGAAAUUUGAGAAGGGCCGUCCCCAGUACGAGAGGACCGGGAUGGACGAACCUCUGGUGUGCCAGUUGUACCGCCAGGUGCAUGGCUGGUUAGCUACGUUCGGAAGGGAUAACCGCUGAAAGCAUCUAAGCGGGAAGCCUGCUUCAAGAUGAGGUUUCCACGCCCCCCCUGUGGGGUGAGAGGCCCCCGCCAGACUAGCGGGUAGAUAGGCCAGAGGUGGAAGCACCGCAAGGUGCUCGUGAGCCGACUGGUACUAAUGGGCCAACACUAAACAAC